GCUUGGGUGGCUUAGUCGGUUAAGCGUCUGACUUCGGCUCAGGUCAUGAUCUCACAGUUCGUGGGUUCGAGCCCCUCGUCAGGCU
Felis catus (domestic cat) is the source of this 85-nucleotide transfer RNA. It matches the Rfam family "tRNA". From Rfam's summary of the family: Transfer RNA (tRNA) molecules are approximately 80 nucleotides in length. Their secondary structure includes four short double-helical elements and three loops (D, anti-codon, and T loops). The record is from Rfam. NCBI's taxonomy places the organism in Eukaryota, Metazoa, Chordata, Mammalia, Carnivora, Felidae.